UUGAAUUUAGCUCAGUGGUAGAGCAUGUGCCUAGCAAGCACAAGGCCCUGGGUUUGAUUCUCAGAUCUUAAA
This is a non-coding RNA of Psammomys obesus (fat sand rat), 72 nucleotides long. NCBI's taxonomy places the organism in Eukaryota, Metazoa, Chordata, Mammalia, Rodentia, Muridae. The record is from the annotation of a RefSeq genome assembly.